RNAcentral lists this non-coding RNA (21 nucleotides) under Rattus norvegicus (Norway rat). Lineage: Eukaryota; Metazoa; Chordata; Mammalia; Rodentia; Muridae. The record is from RNAcentral.
CUUGAAAACCAAUUGAACGAA